Molecule: non-coding RNA, 1416 nt
Organism: Punica granatum (pomegranate)
Lineage: Eukaryota; Viridiplantae; Streptophyta; Magnoliopsida; Myrtales; Lythraceae
Source: RefSeq, a predicted model, not a curated record
CAGAAACUCCCUCUCAUUUUCUCCUUUACGUGACAACAAAAUGGUAGAAAAAACCUUUCCCUUCUUCCCCUCUCUCUCUCUCUCUAAUUUAUAUUUACAUCUGCCCAAGGGAGUGAUGAAAGUUCAAUUCACCGAAUGAGGACGAGGCGGCGGCUACAUUUACCUUAUUCGUCGUGCAAAUUCGUGAUCACGAGAGAAGGAAUUCGGGACAUUGAGAGAUGAUAUAUAUUAUGGAAGGAUUUUAUGAGAGAUGAUCUUGUCUUCUCUUUCUGCCAGUUUUCCUUUUGAACUGAGCGUCAUUAUUGAAUCUUCAAAAUGUCGAAGAAUACAGGCAACAGUAACUCUGUGACGCCGGGUGAAUACAAGGUGUACCUUGAUUUGCCGGCACUCACCUGUGACACCAGUGCUCAAAUCGCUACCCGGAAGGAGAAGGAGAAUGUUGGUCAGUUCCCAAUCAGCCUUAACCUCGAAUUUUCAACCAUUCGAUCGCAAAUCCUGAACAUGGAUCCCCUGCCGAACGUCAAUCGAGCCCAUUCGAUGGUCGGGCAUGAUGAAGCUCAACGAUUGAUUGCUCAAGGAAGAGAUUCCAGCUCCCAAGUGAUGGGUUUUGCAGCCAAAGUCGCGAUUGAUUCCGAGUGCAAUAACCCUAAUUUUAGUUCCAACCGAGGCGAUUUCAAGCCUCGAGGUUGCCCAUUCUAUAACUCUUGUGGGCAAAAUGGCCACCACCGAGCCACCUGCUACGAGCUCCAUGGUUACCCAAACUCCAACCAAGCGAAUCAAUGAAGCUCGAGAGGAAAUUUGUCGGGACAGUCUCGGCCAGGAGGAAACUUUGAGUCUUCCUCGUCUUCUGUUCAGCAGAUGCAUGGAGGAGGAGUUCCGGGUUCGAUUCAUUCAACUUCGGGCAAUCGGGCAGGUUUUAUUUGGGCGGCCCAUUCCGGACGCAUCCAGCCCAAUUGAGUCGUGGGCAGUGGAGGCCUACUCAAUCGGCCCAACAUUCUUCUUCCCAGAGUCCAACAGGCCAUCUAGCGGGCCAGGCCCAGGCUCAUUGCGAACAGACAGCACCUCAGCAAAUUAGCAAAUCUCUCUAAGGUCCAAUUACAGCAACUUGUCUCGAUAGUCUCACGAGACGAUGGACCGCACCUCAGGGAGUACGAUUGGAGUGGGUGAACUUCACGGGGGGAUCUGGCUUCUGCGACAAGUGUUUUCUUCGUUUCAGAGAGCACGGGCAAUGAAAGCAUAUACUGAAGACAUUUGGCAUAAGCGGUCGGGACAUCCUUCCUGCCGGGUUAAGUUCGAGAGUAAUUCCAUUUUUAUGCAUCGGUCAGAUAGUAACGCACUUUGUGAUGUAUGUUGCCGAGCAAAACAGACACGCUCCAGUUUCCCAAUAAGUUCAACUAAAGCUUCUUUCAAUUUCAA